UACGUAGGGGGCAAGCGUUGUCCGGAUUUAUUGGGCGUAAAGAGCGUGUAGGCGGUUUGGUAGGUCCGUUGUGAAAACUCGAGGCUCAACCUCGAGACGUCGGCGGAAACCAUCUGGCUAGAGUCCGGAAGAGGAGAGUGGAAUUCCUGGUGUAGCGGUGAAAUGCGCAGAUAUCAGGAAGAACACCCGUGGCGAAGGCGGCUCUCGUGGGACGGUACUGACGCUGAGACGCGAAAGCGUGGGGAGCGAACAGG
Molecule: ribosomal RNA, 254 nt
Filed under: uncultured bacterium
Lineage: Bacteria
Description: partial 16S ribosomal RNA
Rfam family: Bacterial small subunit ribosomal RNA
Source: RNAcentral